UUACGUUGGCAAGGGAUAUCGACCUAGGCAUGAUAGCUUCUAUGACUGAAGGAUUCAGUGGUGCUGACCUUCAGGCUCUUUUGUCAGAUGCGCAGCUUGCAUUAGUUAAUGAGCUUGCGAAUAAUAAAGAUAAUAAAGAGCUUAAUAUGAAUGAAGAGAAGCCGGUUAUUAGUGAUGAAGUUCUGAGGUCAGUUACUUCAAAAGCAAGGCCAUCAGUAUCAGAAGCUGAGAGGCAGAGACUUAAUGGGAUAUAUAGUCAAUUCUUGGAUUCAAAGAAAUCUGCUACCGCACAGUCUAGGGAAGCAAAGGGGAAAAGGGCGACACUUGCAUAACGUCAUGCUCUGAUCUUGUCUCACACAAUGCAUUUCAGGAAUUUCUUUGUAUUGUUCUAGUUCUAGUUAACCAACAAGGAGUCAGGUACAAGAAUGAGCUGGCCAUUUGUCAAGAAAGCAUGACACAACCUUAAGUUGCUAUUAAAAAAAGAAAAAAAUGACAUUCAACAAUACCAGAAGCAGCAGUAUAUUCAGGUGUUCUUUCCUGACCCACUAAAAAGCAUGUAUAGAGUUUCGGUUGUUAGAGUUUCUUCCUAGUGUUCUAGUUUUAGUGAUGGUUAGAGUUUCGGUUGCACAAUUGGAAUAAUUUUUUCUUAUUUGGUAGGAUUAGGAAUUCUCAUACAAGAAACACUACACAGAUAGCUUAUCAGACCACCAUAGUUUCUCACACUUCGCAUAAUGAUAUUAUUGAGAUACGUGUUGUCUCUGGCAUUUAGGGGUCUCGUCUAUUAACUUUCGUCUUACAUUUCCAUUCAUUUAAUUACAAUAAUCUCUUUUGUUCAUGAUUUGAAGUAGCAGCCAAUUGGCAUGCAGUGAAAGAAAUAAACAAAUGUUAUGUGAAUGGAACAUAAUAUAGAUUAUGUAUAUUCACCUCAAAUGAAACAUUAUAUGCUCUCUUCU
Molecule: long non-coding RNA, 953 nt
Organism: Dioscorea cayenensis subsp. rotundata (Guinea yam)
Lineage: Eukaryota; Viridiplantae; Streptophyta; Magnoliopsida; Dioscoreales; Dioscoreaceae
Exons: 3
Source: RefSeq, a predicted model, not a curated record